CCAAGCAGGGGCGGGGGAAAUGGUCUACGCAGCAAUGAAAGUAGGAUCCUACAAUAUUUGAGACCUUACUGCCAAUAAAGGCCACUAGGUUCUUGGGGGUAUUGUGCAGACUCUGUAGAACAGAAGAUCGAUUAUACUAGAGUGUUAACGCGGGGAAAACGGGGAAUAGAUUAGAACAAGUGGGAAAUCCUAUAGGAAUUUCUACUCACCUUUAGAGUAAAGCACUUCUGUACAGAAUCAUGGCCAUAUUAUGAACUCGAGUCAGAGGCCUCCAGGCCCUGAAAAUAACACCCUUUUGCAACUGCUUUUAUUUUAUACACAUAGCGGGAAAUGUUAAGAACAGCAAUAUGUGCAGGCCCACCAAUGAAACCCCCUCCAUAUGUAUUACCAUCAUGCUCCAAGCAGCUUCUCCUUUCCAGCAUGCUAUGGAGAACAAGGAAACUCUCUUAGUCUGUGAAGAGAGGGAGGGGUCUGAGGAAAGUAUUAAAGAGGAAAGGAUGAUUGCCUUUUGCUAAAACCAUGCUGUCUGUGUUCUGUUUCCAAGCUCAAACAGCUGCUUCAGCUGAGAAAAAGGGGGAGGCGCAUCGGCCUCCUCCACCCCUUGUGUUGCAAACAGUCUAAUUUCCUGCUGCCGCUCUGUCCCAAGCCCAAAGAGAACACUGUUCUUGCUGCAAAAAGUUUCUCCGAACAAACGGCUGCUUUUCUUUUCUUUUUCUUCUUCUUUCUUCCUUCAACUGCUUGCAGUUGGAAAAGAGGAAAGAAAAUGGAGUUUGAAGGAAUGCGUGUGAUGUAGUUCUGUGCAGGGAAUUGUAGAGAAAAGACUGGAAGGAGAUGUGGACAGAAGGGAAGGAAUGUCUUAAGGAUUUUAGUUGGAAGUUGUUAAAAAGUUGAAAAGCACCUGUAAGUUGAAAAAUGUAAGCUGUGAUGUGGAAAGUAGCUGAAUCCCAGUAGCUGAAUGAUGAGAUCCCAGAUUUGAGAUUUGAUGAAAAGAAUUUUGUUUUGCCACUCCUGCAAGUGGAAGGGAGUUCCAAAGUACCGGUUUGCAUUUCACCUGGAAGACUUCCCAGUUUAAAAGGAUCAAGCUUUGUAUGUUACUGUGAAACCCAUACCCUGUUUUCACAGCUCCUGAUGAGAGACUUGACUUGAUUAUCACAGGUUUCACCCCUCUGCAAGAUUAUGGACCAUUUUUCUGAUAACACCUUUUGCUAAAGAGGCCUGUAAAAAGGGACACUUUGAUUUGCUGUAAAAUCUGUAAAAUCUAUGCUUAGGCAUCCCAAAAUCACAUGUCACAAAUCCUUUAGCCACAUGAAACACAGAACUAUAUUUCCAAGGCAAAGAAGAUAAUUCUAGUUAUAGCAUGUAUUUUCUUUUUAUUGAUAGUCACAUGUUGCUGCUUACAAUGCAUUCCAGCUUUAAUCCAAAUGUUUAUGAGAACCUUUAAACCUCGCCAUAAUGUAAGACCUAAUUAUACAGCUGUACCUUUACAAGCCUUAAGACAUCCUGAAGAUUCAGGAUAGUCCAAUUUCAGGGGGGAAUUGAUCUGUUUAAAAAACCAAAGAAACUCCAUUUUGCCCAGAAGACCUUAUUCUAACUUAAAGUAACCUGGCCCCCAAAAUCAGGGACAUCACUGCCUCUCAUGAUUAACAUCAUUAUCUCUCUCCAGCAAAAUUGUACACAGCUAAGCUUCACAUUGCUAGAAAACAGGAUCUAACCGAAUAAGGAAUAAUCACCAGAUGAACAAUGAAUCAUUCACAUGCGUACUACUUAGACCACCAUUUUAUUGCCACAUAUACUGUGUCUAGCGUGUUAGCACCAUCUUGAUUGUUUGUAUAAAUGUAAGGUGCACCUGUAACCAAACCUUAAUUGGUUUGAGAGCAUGAGCCUACUGAUUACCUAUUGCUGACUGCAGAGCAAUAAAGCCUCAAUUAAUAAUUCCCAA
Molecule: long non-coding RNA, 1939 nt
Organism: Hemicordylus capensis (graceful crag lizard)
Lineage: Eukaryota; Metazoa; Chordata; Lepidosauria; Squamata; Cordylidae
Exons: 2
Source: RefSeq, a predicted model, not a curated record